GAUGAACGCUGGCGGCGUGCCUAACACAUGCAAGUCGAACGGAGAUUACGGACGGAAGUUUUCGGAUGGAAGCCUGUAAUUCUUAGUGGCGGACGGGUGAGUAACGCGUGGGCAACCUGCACUAUACAGGGGGAUAGCAGCUGGAAACGGCUGGUAAGACCGCAUAAGUCGGUUAAAUCGCAUGAUUUGAUCGGGAAAUGAGCAAUCAGGUAUAGGAUGGGCCCGCGUCCGAUUAGCCAGUUGGCAGGGUAAAAGCCUACCAAAGCGACGAUCGGUAGCCGGACUGAGAGGUCGGACGGCCACAUUGGGACUGAGACACGGCCCAAACUCCUACGGGAGGCAGCAGUGGGGGAUAUUGCACAAUGGAGGAAACUCUGAUGCAGCGACGCCGCGUGAGUGAAGAAGUAUUUCGGUAUGUAAAGCUCUAUCAGCAGGGAAGAUGAUGACGGUACCUGACUAAGAAGCCCCGGCUAACUACGUG
This 481-nucleotide ribosomal RNA is filed under the name uncultured bacterium. Its description in RNAcentral is "partial 16S ribosomal RNA". It matches the Rfam family "Bacterial small subunit ribosomal RNA", at positions 28 to 507 of the family's 1533-position model. The record is from RNAcentral.